CAGCCGCCGCGGUAAUACGUGGGGUGCGAGCGUUAAUCGGAAUUACUGGGCGUAAAGCGUGCGCAGGCGGUUGUGUAAGACAGGUGUGAAAUCCCCGGGCUUAACCUGGGAACUGCGCUUGUGACUGCACAGCUAGAGUAUGGCAGAGGGGGGUGGAAUUCCACGUGUAGCAGUGAAAUGCGUAGAGAUGUGGAGGAACACCGAUGGCGAAGGCAGCCCCCUGGGCCAAUACUGACGCUCAUGCACGAAAGCGUGGGGAGCAAAUGGGAUUAGAUACCCCUGUAGUCCCUGUCUCUUAUAC
Molecule: ribosomal RNA, 301 nt
Filed under: uncultured bacterium
Lineage: Bacteria
Description: partial 16S ribosomal RNA
Rfam family: Bacterial small subunit ribosomal RNA
Source: RNAcentral